This 326-nucleotide ribosomal RNA is filed under the name uncultured Chloroflexota bacterium. RNAcentral's name for it is "bacterial SSU rRNA". It matches the Rfam family "Bacterial small subunit ribosomal RNA", at positions 28 to 351 of the family's 1533-position model. Lineage: Bacteria; Bacillati; Chloroflexota. The record is from RNAcentral.
GAUGAACGCUGGCGGCGUGCCUAAUACAUGCAAGUCGAACGGAGAUAUUGUAGCAAUAUGAUAUUUUAGUGGCGAACGGGUGAGUAACGCGUUGGUGACCUGCCCCGAAGAGGGGGAUAACAGUUCGAAAGGAUUGCUAAUACCCCAUGUGGUUAUUUGGAUUAGAUGCCUUAUAACAAAAGGAGAAAUUCACUUCGGGAGGGACCUGCGUCCCAUCAGCUAGUUGGUGAGGUAACGGCCCACCAAGGCGACGACGGGUAGGGGACCUGAGAGGGUGGCCCCCCACAAUGGAACUGAACAACGGUCCAUACACCUACGGGUGGCUG